RNAcentral lists this ribosomal RNA (1087 nucleotides) under uncultured soil bacterium. RNAcentral describes it as "bacterial SSU rRNA". It matches the Rfam family "Bacterial small subunit ribosomal RNA", at positions 8 to 1154 of the family's 1533-position model. The record is from RNAcentral.
AGAGUUUGAUCAUGGCUCAGGAUGAACGCUGGCGACGUGGAUUAGGCAUGCAAGUCAAACGGCUCGCAAGAGCAGUGGCAAACGAGGCAGUAACACGUAGGUACACCCCCCAAAGUCAGGAAUAACUCAUCGAAAGAUGAGCUAAUACUUGAUAGUCUCGAAAGAGUAAAGAUUUAUCGCUUUGGGAGUGGCCUGCGGGAUAUCAGCUAGUUGGUAGGGUAAAAGCCUACCAAGGCUAUGACGUCUAGGGGACCUGAGAGGGUGACCCCCACCGAUGGAACUGAGAUACGGUCCAUACACCUACGGGUGGCCGCAGUCGAGAAUCUUCCGCAAUGGGCGAAAGCCUGACGGAGCGACGUCGCGUGGUUGAUGAAGUCUCUAGGGAUGUAAAAACCUUUUAUGAGCCAAAAAGUAAUUGAUUAGCUCAUGAAUAAGGGGUUGCUAAACUCGUGCCAGCAGCAGCGGUAAUACGAGUGCCCCAAGCGUUAUCCGGAAUUAUUGGGCGUAAAGGAUGUGUAGGCGGUCAGAUUAGUCUCUUGUUAAAGCUCUCGGCUUAACCGGGAAAGUGCAAGGGAAACGGUCUGACUAGAGGAUGUGAGAGGUGUGCGGAACUCAUAGUGUAGGGGUGAAAUCCGUUGAUAUUAUGGGGAACACCAAAAGCGAAGGCAGCACACUGGCACAUUCCUGACGCUGAGACAUGAAAGCGUGGGUAGCGAAUGGGAUUAGAUACCCCAGUAGUCCACGCCCUAAACGAUGUUCAUUAGCUAUUCGGAGUAUCGACCCUCUGAGUGGCGUAGCUAACGCGUUAAAUGAACCGCCUGGGUAGCACGGCCGCAAGGCUAAAACUCAAAGGAAUAGACGGGGACUUGCACAAGUAGUGGAUUAUGUGGUUUAAUUCGACGAUAAACGAAGAACCUUACCCGGGUUUGAAACCUAGUUGAAUAUUUUAGGAAACUUUAAUAGUCUCACAAGGACAAUUAGGCAGGUGAUGCAUGGCCGUCGUCAGUUCGUGGUUUGAAUUGUUCCCUUAAGUGGGGUAACGAACGCAACCCUCGUUGGCUGUUACAAGUGUCAGCCGAGACUGCCC